Molecule: unclassified non-coding RNA, 307 nt
Filed under: plant metagenome
Description: partial contains 5.8S ribosomal RNA, internal transcribed spacer 2, and large subunit ribosomal RNA
Rfam family: 5.8S ribosomal RNA (bases 1-105)
Source: RNAcentral
GAAACGCGAUAGUUAAUGUGAAUUGCAGAAUUCAGUGAAUCAUCGAGUCUUUGAACGCACAUUGCGCCCCUCGGCAUUCCGUGGGGCAUGCCUGUUCGAGCGUCAUCUACACCCUCAAGCUCUGCUUGGUGUUGGGCGUCUGUCCCGCCUCCGCGCGCGGACUCGCCCCAAAUGCAUUGGCAGCGGUUCCUUGCCCCCCUCUUUGCGCAGCACAUUGCCAUUCGAGGCGGCGGCGGCCCGCGUCCAACAAGCUCAACCCCCCCGUCUUUGACCUCGGAUCAGGUAGGGAUACCCGCUGAACUUAAGC